This is a long non-coding RNA of Nasonia vitripennis (jewel wasp), 2310 nucleotides long. RefSeq lists it as uncharacterized. The record is from RefSeq and is a predicted model, not a curated record. NCBI's taxonomy places the organism in Eukaryota, Metazoa, Arthropoda, Insecta, Hymenoptera, Pteromalidae. The transcript has 2 exons.
GGCUAAUUUUGGCUCGACUUGCAGCUUCGGUCAUUUUGCUAUCGAUCCUCGAGCCGGGCAUUGUGUGCGAGGCAGCAGCUACUGCAACCGCGACGACUGCUUUUUAGCAGAUUGAGAGGAGCGAUAGCCCGACACGCGCGCUGAUGCAGAGAUAUUUAGUGCACGCUGGAGAACGUUUUUGCGCAGCAUUGGAAUCUUCGCGAAAACACGAUCUUUUACGAGUCGCUUUAAUGGCCGAUGUUGUGUGCAAUCGCGCUGUUUAAAUUAAUGCGGAGCGGCGUAAAUCAAUGAUAAGGAGUUAAGGUGGAUCAUUGCGGUCAGACCGACCCGGUUUUUCGAAUUUUUUCGAGCAAUCUCUCUUGCGCGAUAAUCCGAGCUACUUAAAUUGCUGAAAGCGUGCUAUUACAUGAUAAAAUCCAAACGUCGACUGCGCGCUUGUUCUGAUGGAAUACACUAUUCGUCGAAUAAACUGCUGCCAGACUACUCGGUUCGCAAGCUAGUGCAUCGGCGAUUGCGAAGCUUUACAAAGACCCGUCAACUCGAGCUUGAUAAGAUUUACUCGCGCGCGCUUAGCGAUUUUCUAUAUCGUGCGAGGGACGUUGCGAAUGAGCCGACAAUUUUGUUCAUAAGAGAACAGAUCCAGCAAUAGCAACAACAACGGUAACGAGAAUACCAGCGAUACCCACGAAGAAGACAACGGGCUGAACACCGCUCACCGCCUUGUCGUUCUCCAGGCCAAUGAUAGGUACAUCCCUUUUUCAGCGCUGUCGUGAUCUGUAAUUUUGUUACCUUCAUAGUAAAAUGUCUCGAAUAGUCGCCAAACAUGCCGUGGAAUACUAAAUUUCGACAUUAAUUUUCAAUCGGUUCGAAUGAAAGUUUAUUGUUACAACAGUGAAUCGAUGCGAAUGCAUCUGUUUAUAAUUAAUCAUCAAAGUAUGCAAAGGAUUUUCUUAUUAUAAUGCUAUUUAAUAACAGUUGCAUAUUAAGGUUUAUUAUAUCUACUGUUAAUUAUUUUUAAUAUAUUUCUCAGGAACAAAUACAUAUUCUUUUAUUUUAAUAUACAUCAAUUCGCGAUUACAACACUUGCGAACGUGUUCAUCAUUAUAAUAAUUUUUAAAGAGUACUCCGUGUGUAAACGGAAACUUUCGAUUUUUUUCUUGGCGCUGCAGUAUAUGCAAGAAUUAAAAAAAUCCUCUUUCUACUCUUUUCGUCUGCAUAUAUUAUUCCUCGUUUUUUUUUAAAUCCAGUCAAUUCUCUGUACACGUAAAAUCUUUUGUGAAAUUAUCACGUUUUCAUUCGGCUUUGUAGUGGCGCCCGUAUGAAUUACUUUAUCUAUGCACUUUUUUGUAAUGCUCAAUUUUGUCAAUGUCGUUUAAAAAUUCGUAACGUAUAUUCUCAUCUUCUCAUUAUUGUUUUGGUUAACGAAGCGCCACCUUAAGAACAUUGCGUCUUGUUUUAUCUUGAAUGUUUUUAUCACAGAGGUACAGCUUUUUUCCUUUCUUUUUUUCUCUAUUAUUAUUACAGCUAUAGACGUUCGCGUUGAUAAAUCUUUCUGCUCGUCGCUAAUGGCACUCACAUUACGAGAAGUACGAGAAAAAUCAAUGAUAAGAUCUUGAAAAUCGAUUCUUCGAGCGUGUGACUGAAAAAAUUGAACGCUCACGCUUUUCUUUAAAGUAAUCAACAAGUACGCGUCUACUGCAGUGAAUCCGGAGUUAGCCUAUGCUGAUAGACAAUUAAGUUUAUGUAUAUUACGUUAAAAAUUAAUGUAUAUGUAUAUAUAUAUUUUUUUUUCAAAAAGCUGCUGCAAACGAGAAAGUAAAAGUAGUCGACGACAGGUCGUUCCUUUAAUCGAGUAAGUUUCGAAAAAUUAACUUGCGUUAUUACAGUACUUAGCUUACUUAUUGAAUAGUUUUUUAUAGCUCGGAAAUUUGUUCACAUUCGUUCCUAAAGACUUUCUUCUUUGACCCUUUGUUUCUUAUGUCGUGCAAAAACGAGUACGGUCUAAUUUUUCUUGCUCACGAUGGAAUGUGUUCCACAACUAUCAUUUCAUUAUUAUUUUUGUCCCUCUUUCACGAAUUGAGCGCUCACAAUCUUAUUAUUUUCGUAGAGCUAUUUUACAUUUAUAUAUACAUCUAUCAUCAUACACGCACACGUAGAUACAUGCAUUCUAUAUAUGUACUCUUCAUUUCUUCUCGACUUCACUCACGCGCUUGUGAAUAAUUAAUCCUAAUGCAAUAGUAGCAAUAUACACGUAACUAUGUUUCACGUCAUAUAAACUAUGUACAAAAAAAACAACAUAAGAAAUAAAAA